RNAcentral lists this transfer RNA (76 nucleotides) under Nocardia farcinica IFM 10152. Its description in RNAcentral is "putative tRNA-Arg". It matches the Rfam family "tRNA". Rfam says of the family: Transfer RNA (tRNA) molecules are approximately 80 nucleotides in length. Lineage: Bacteria; Bacillati; Actinomycetota; Actinomycetes; Mycobacteriales; Nocardiaceae. The record is from RNAcentral.
GCCCUCGUAGCUCAGGGGAUAGAGCGUCUGCCUCCGGAGCAGAAGGCCGCAGGUUCGAAUCCUGCCGAGGGCACAG